Molecule: ribosomal RNA, 158 nt
Filed under: uncultured bacterium
Lineage: Bacteria
Description: partial 16S rRNA
Rfam family: Bacterial small subunit ribosomal RNA
Source: RNAcentral
GGAAUAUUGGACAAUGGGCGCAAGCCUGAUCCAGCAAUGCCGCGUGUGUGAAGAAGGCCCUAGGGUUGUAAAGCACUUUCAAUUGUGAAGAAGGGUAUUAGAUUAAUAUUCUAGUAUCUUGACGUUAACUUUAGAAGAAGCACCGGCUAACUCUGUGC